CUACGUGCCAGCAGCCGCGGUAAUACGGAAGGUCCAGGCGUUAUCCGGAUUUAUUGGGUUUAAAGGGAGCGUAGGCGGAUUGUUAAGUCAGCGGUUAAAGGGUGUGGCUCAACCAUGCAUUGCCGUUGAAACUGGCGAUCUUGAGUGCAGACAGGGAUGCCGGAAUUCGUGGUGUAGCGGUGAAAUGCUUAGAUAUCACGAAGAACUCCGAUCGCGAAGGCAGGUGUCCGGGCUGCAACUGACGCUGAGGCUCGAAGGUGCGGGUAUCGAACAGGAUUAGAUACCCUGGUAGUCCGCACAGUAAACGAUGGAUGCCCGCUGUUGGUACUUGGUAUCAGCGGCUAAGCGAAAGCAUUAAGUAUACCACCUGGGGAGUACGCCGGCAACGGUGAAACUCAAAGGAAUUGACGGGGGCCCGCACAAGCGGAGGAACAUGUGGUUUAAUUCGAUGAUACGCGAGGAACCUUACCCGGGCUUGAACUAACGGUGACGAAUCUAGAGAUAG
Molecule: ribosomal RNA, 505 nt
Filed under: uncultured bacterium
Lineage: Bacteria
Description: bacterial SSU rRNA
Rfam family: Bacterial small subunit ribosomal RNA
Source: RNAcentral